This 434-nucleotide ribosomal RNA is filed under the name uncultured bacterium. Its description in RNAcentral is "bacterial SSU rRNA". It matches the Rfam family "Bacterial small subunit ribosomal RNA", at positions 29 to 509 of the family's 1533-position model. The record is from RNAcentral.
AACGAACGCUGGCGGCAUGCCUAACACAUGCAAGUCGAACGAGACCUUCGGACUUAGUGGCGCACGGGUGCGUAACGCGUGGGAAUCUGCCCUUGGGUGCGGAAUAACUUCUCGAAAGGGAUGCUAAUACCGCAUAAUGUCGUAAGACCAAAGAUUUAUCGCCCAAGGAUGAGCCCGCGUAAGAUUAGCUAGUUGGUGGGGUAAAAGCCUACCAAGGCGACGAUCUUUAGCUGGUCUGAGAGGAUGAUCAGCCACACUGGGACUGAGACACGGCCCAGACUCCUACGGGAGGCAGCAGUGGGGAAUAUUGGACAAUGGGCGAAAGCCUGAUCCAGCAAUGCCGCGUGAGUGAUGAAGGCCCUAGGGUUGUAAAGCUCUUUUACCAGGAUGAUAAUGACAGUACCUGGAGAAUAAGCUCCGGCUAACUCCGUGCC